UACGUAGGUGGCAAGCGUUAUCCGGAAUUACUGGGCGUAAAGCGCACGCAGGCGGUCUUUUAAGUUUGACGUGAAAGCUCUCGGCUUAACUGGGAGAGGUCGUUGAAAACUGGAAGGCUUGAGGCAAUGAGAGGGGUGUAGAAUUCCCGGUGUAGUGGUGGAAUGCGUAGAUAUCGGGGGGAAUACCAGUGGCGAAAGCGGCACCCUAGCGUUGUUCUGACGCUCAUGUGCGAAAGCGUGGGGAGCGAACGGG
This 253-nucleotide ribosomal RNA is filed under the name uncultured bacterium. Its description in RNAcentral is "partial 16S ribosomal RNA". It matches the Rfam family "Bacterial small subunit ribosomal RNA", at positions 524 to 776 of the family's 1533-position model. The record is from RNAcentral.